This 303-nucleotide ribosomal RNA is filed under the name uncultured bacterium. Its description in RNAcentral is "partial 16S ribosomal RNA". It matches the Rfam family "Bacterial small subunit ribosomal RNA", at positions 507 to 807 of the family's 1533-position model. The record is from RNAcentral.
AGCAGUCGCCGCGGGAAUACGAAGGGGGCUAGCGUUGCUCGGAAUUACUGGGCGUAAAGGGAGCGUAGGCGGACAUUUAAGUCAGGGGUGAAAUCCCAGAGCUCAACUCUGGAACUGCCUUUGAUACUGGGUGUCUUGAGUGUGAUAGAGGUAUGUGGAACUCCGAGUGUAGAGGUGAAAUUCGUAGAUAUUCGGAAGAACACCAGUGGCGAAGGCGACAUACUGGAUCAUUACUGACGCUGAGGCUCGAAAGCGUGGGGAGCAAACAGGAUUAGAUACCCCAGUAGUCCCUGUCUCUUAUAC